Molecule: ribosomal RNA, 253 nt
Filed under: uncultured bacterium
Lineage: Bacteria
Description: partial 16S ribosomal RNA
Rfam family: Bacterial small subunit ribosomal RNA
Source: RNAcentral
UACGUAGGGUGCAAGCGUUGUUCGGAAUCAUUGGGCGUAAAGCGCGUGUAGGCGGUUUGUUAAGUCGAGUGUGAAAUCCCUGGGCUCAACCGAGGAAGUGCAUUCGAAACUAACUGGCUAGAAGAUGGUAGAGGAAGGUGGAAUUCCAAGUGUAGAGGUGAAAUUCGUAGAUAUUCGGAAGAACACCAGUGGCGAAGGCGACUCGCUGGACAAGUAUUGACGCUGAGGAGCGAAAGCGUGGGGAGCGAACAGG